Molecule: ribosomal RNA, 1035 nt
Filed under: Phaeosphaeriopsis sp.
Lineage: Eukaryota; Fungi; Ascomycota; Dothideomycetes; Pleosporales; Phaeosphaeriaceae
Description: SSU rRNA
Rfam family: Eukaryotic small subunit ribosomal RNA
Source: RNAcentral
UCUAAGUAUAAGCAAUUAUACCGUGAAACUGCGAAUGGCUCAUUAAAUCAGUUAUCGUUUAUUUGAUAGUACCUUACUACUUGGAUAACCGUGGUAAUUCUAGAGCUAAUACAUGCUGAAAACCCCAACUUCGGGAGGGGUGUAUUUAUUAGAUAAAAAACCAACGCCCUUCGGGGCUUCUUGGUGAUUCAUGAUAACUUUACGGAUCGCAUGGCCUUGCGCCGGCGACGGUUCAUUCAAAUUUCUGCCCUAUCAACUUUCGAUGGUAAGGUAUUGGCUUACCAUGGUUUCAACGGGUAACGGGGAAUUAGGGUUCGAUUCCGGAGAGGGAGCCUGAGAAACGGCUACCACAUCCAAGGAAGGCAGCAGGCGCGCAAAUUACCCAAUCCCGACACGGGGAGGUAGUGACAAUAAAUACUGAUACAGGGCUCUUUUGGGUCUUGUAAUUGGAAUGAGUACAAUUUAAACCUCUUAACGAGGAACAAUUGGAGGGCAAGUCUGGUGCCAGCAGCCGCGGUAAUUCCAGCUCCAAUAGCGUAUAUUAAAGUUGUUGCAGUUAAAAAGCUCGUAGUUGAACCUUGGGUCUGGCUGGCAGGUCCGCCUCACCGCGUGUACUUGUCCGGCCGGGCCUUCCUUCUGGAGAACCUCAUGCCCUUCACUGGGCGUGUUGGGGACCAGGACUUUUACUUUGAAAAAAUUAGAGUGUUCAAAGCAGGCCUUUGCUCGAAUACGUUAGCAUGGAAUAAUAGAAUAGGACGUGCGGUCCUAUUUUGUUGGUUUCUAGGACCGCCGUAAUGAUUAAUAGGGACAGUCGGGGGCAUCAGUAUUCAAUUGUCAGAGGUGAAAUUCUUGGAUUUAUUGAAGACUAACUACUGCGAAAGCAUUUGCCAAGGAUGUUUUCAUUAAUCAGUGAACGAAAGUUAGGGGAUCGAAGACGAUCAGAUACCGUCGUAGUCUUAACCGUAAACUAUGCCGACUAGGGAUCGGGCGAUGUUCUUUUUCUGACUCGCUCGGCACCUUACGAGAAAUCAAAGU